This 117-nucleotide ribosomal RNA is filed under the name Gossypium arboreum. The record is from RNAcentral. Lineage: Eukaryota; Viridiplantae; Streptophyta; Magnoliopsida; Malvales; Malvaceae.
GACUAGGGUCGUUUUAGGGCUGUCACACGAUCCCAUCAGAACUCUGCAGUCAAGCGUGCUUGGGCGAUAGUAGUACUAGGAUAGGUGACCUCCGGGGAAGUCCUCGUGUUGCACUUA